CGGAGUGUAGUUCAGUUGGUAGAAUACACGUUUCGGGUACGUGUGGUCGCGGGUUCGAGUCUCGCCACUCCGACCA
RNAcentral lists this transfer RNA (76 nucleotides) under Candidatus Dojkabacteria bacterium CG_4_10_14_0_2_um_filter_Dojkabacteria_WS6_41_15. RNAcentral's name for it is "tRNA-Pro". It matches the Rfam family "tRNA". Rfam says of the family: Transfer RNA (tRNA) molecules are approximately 80 nucleotides in length. RNAcentral also lists the same sequence under 1 other name. The record is from RNAcentral.